GCGGCGGACGGGUGAGUAACACGUGGGCAACCUGCCCUGCAGACUGGGAUAACUUCGGGAAACCGGAGCUAAUACCGGAUAACACCGAAAACCGCAUGGUUUUCGGUUGAAAGGCGGCUUUUAGCUGUCACUGCAGGAUGGGCCCGCGGCGCAUUAGCUAGUUGGUGAGGUAACGGCUCACCAAGGCGACGAUGCGUAGCCGACCUGAGAGGGUGACCGGCCACACUGGGACUGAGACACGGCCCAGACUCCUACGGGAGGCAGCAGUAGGGAAUCUUCCGCAAUGGACGAAAGUCUGACGGAGCAACGCCGCGUGAGCGAAGAAGGUCUUCGGAUCGUAAAGCUCUGUUGUCAGGGAAGAACAAGUACCGUUCGAACAGGGCGGUACCUUGACGGUACCUCACGAGAAAGCCCCGGCUAACUACGUGCCAGCAGCCGCGGUAAUAC
This 447-nucleotide ribosomal RNA is filed under the name Aeribacillus sp. S44C023. RNAcentral describes it as "bacterial SSU rRNA". It matches the Rfam family "Bacterial small subunit ribosomal RNA", at positions 95 to 526 of the family's 1533-position model. The record is from RNAcentral. Lineage: Bacteria; Bacillati; Bacillota; Bacilli; Caryophanales; Bacillaceae.